AGUGGGAUAGCUGGAUCACAUGGUGGUUUAAUUCCAAGUUUUCUGAGGACUCUCCAUACUGCUUUCCAUAAUGGUUGCACCAAUUUGCAUUCCACCAGCAAU
Molecule: microRNA precursor, 102 nt
Filed under: Marmota monax (woodchuck)
Lineage: Eukaryota; Metazoa; Chordata; Mammalia; Rodentia; Sciuridae
Source: RNAcentral